AAUGAAAACAUACAACCAGAGCCCAAUUUCAAUGAUCAAUCAGAAGGACUGAACUGAUCCCUGACCCCAUUGGACGGCCACCGGACUCUUAACAACGUGUUCACCGUCUGUCCAUUCGAUCGACCCGAAUUCAUGACCCGGCA
This 143-nucleotide small RNA is filed under the name Arabidopsis thaliana (thale cress). RNAcentral's name for it is "ATSL137990". The record is from RNAcentral. Lineage: Eukaryota; Viridiplantae; Streptophyta; Magnoliopsida; Brassicales; Brassicaceae.